Molecule: ribosomal RNA, 253 nt
Filed under: uncultured bacterium
Lineage: Bacteria
Description: partial 16S ribosomal RNA
Rfam family: Bacterial small subunit ribosomal RNA
Source: RNAcentral
UACGAAAGGUGCAAGCGUUACUCGGAAUCACUGGGCGUAAAGCGCACGUAGGCGGACUCGUAGGUCAAUUGUGAAAUACCUGGGCUCAACCCGGGAACUGCAGUUGAAACCGCUUGUCUUGAAUACCUGAGAGGGUGGGGGAAUACCUGGUGGAGAAGUGAAAUUCGUAGAGAUCAGGUGGAACACCGGAGGCGAAGGCGCCUGCCUGGCAGUGUAUUGACGCUGAGAUGCGAAAGUGCGGGGAGCAAACAGG